Molecule: ribosomal RNA, 425 nt
Filed under: uncultured Clostridiales Family XII bacterium
Lineage: Bacteria; Bacillati; Bacillota; Clostridia; Eubacteriales; Eubacteriales Family XII. Incertae Sedis
Description: bacterial SSU rRNA
Rfam family: Bacterial small subunit ribosomal RNA
Source: RNAcentral
UGGGGAAUAUUGGGCAAUGGGCGCAAGCCUGACCCAGCAACGCCGCGUGAAGGAAGAAGGCCUUCGGGUUGUAAACUUUUGUUGUAGAGGACGAAGAAAGUGACUGUACUCUACGAGGAAGCCCCGGCUAACUAUGUGCCAGCAGCCGCGGUAAUACAUAGGGGGCAAGCGUUGUCCGGAAUCACUGGGCGUAAAGGGAGCGUAGGCGGAUGUUUAAGUUAAGUGUGAAAGCCUGGGGCUUAACUCCAGAAAUGCACUUAAUACUGGACAACUAGAGUGUGGGAGAGGUAAGUGGAAUUCCUAGUGUAGCGGUGAAAUGCGUAGAUAUCAGGAGGAACAUCGGUGGCGAAGGCGGCUUGCUGGGCUUUUACUGACGCUGAGGCUCGAAAGCGUGGGGAGCAAACAGGAUUAGAUACCCUGGUAGU